CUGUUGAAAUUUAGUAGGGGGCUGUUAUAUUAUGGUCUUCAUUUCAUCAUUAUUAAACC
Non-coding RNA from Pteropus vampyrus (large flying fox), 59 nucleotides. NCBI's taxonomy places the organism in Eukaryota, Metazoa, Chordata, Mammalia, Chiroptera, Pteropodidae. The record is from Rfam.